CUUCACCUAAAGGAUGACGGCCUAAUCUCAUCUCAUACUUUGUGACUUUUGUCCAUCCGUUGUUGAUUCACCUCAACAUUGAUCUACAAUUUACCAUGAUAACUUGAAACUUCUUACGUAAUCACUAGGGCUCACGUGGCAUUGAGGAACAUUUGAAGUGAUUUUCUUGACCCACCUGGGGACAAUAUAUACUAUACUUCCAUAACCGUAUUUCCUAGCAUUCCAAUGUGAUUCACCUUACGUGAGUAAAUUAAUCCCGUACAAUCCAUGAAUCCCUUUCUUCAAAUCAUUGUGGGUACAUGUUUUCCGUACGUGACUAUAUAUGUACCUACAAUUCACCUUACGUGAGUAAAUUUUUCUAGUGAAUUUGACCAAUGGAUGCAUUCUAUUUCAAAAUUAGGUGUUGAAAGACUAUAUCUUUCUUUUGAUUGUGGCAUUAUUCCUAUUCUCUAUGUUCACAUAAACUGGAGUCGCCAAUAAGGGAGAGGUAGAUGCCUAGCACGCUAUAUUGACUAUUCUAUGAAGUGACCAGAUAUUUCUGAAUUCUGCUUCUUGUGAAGAUCUUAGUCUAAGCUUCCCUGAUGCAGUUGGAAGACUGUAAAAGGCAACAGGCGCAGCUAAUUGAUUGUAAUAUCAUGUCUUAUUAAUAUUUCUAGUUUUAUGGCCACAUUAACUCCAAUCUUUUUCCUCUGCCGCAUUUACUAAAAUGACCAUUGAUUUCUCUUAUUUCUCAUUAAAUUCCAACAGAUAGAUGAUGGAAUUUUACUUUGGUUUUAGAUCAAUUAAAUUAACCAGUACGCUGGUACGUACUUGUACAGUUUUCUUCAGCAACGCCUGCUCUUGUUUUCUUUCUUAUAAGUGGCAGAGGUAAGUUCUGCUUAGCAAGAAGAGACUUUUGUUGGUUCACAUUUUUAUAUAAUAUCCCUUAUCCACAGAAAAGAAGCACUAAUCCACGAGGGUUAGAUUCGAAUCAACAGUCUCCUUAUGUAAUACUAGUACAUAUAUAGUCGUGCAGAAAGCAAAAGGGAGAAAAGCAAAAGCAAAGAAGGAUGCAGGGGGUGGAGCAUAAGAAAAGCAAAAAAGACGUCUUUCUCAACACAGAUCCCAACGGAAUGCAGGAAGGAUGCACGACAUUACUUGCUGGAUCCUAUUCUUUUCGUUUUUUAGUUUAAAGGGACUCCCUUAGUUCUCCUUGGUAAUCUUUUCAGUGUGAUACACACACACACACAGAGCCCAUUCAGUUGUUUUUGACUUUAUUUUUAGAUUUAUGGCUAGAAAACAAAAAUAGAAAAAAGUUUCAAAUGGAGGGAACAAAAGAAAGGGUGGAGUAUGAUUAGCUUAUUUGUCUCCCAAUGAUUGACUUGCCGCCUUGCUCCAAGAGAAACUUGCUCUGAAUCUCUUAAUAAGUGUCAGGAUUUUUUCAAUCCCAUAGCAACGAAAAUGAAGUCUUCUGAGUAAUGAUGACAAUAGCGGCAACACUAACAGCAACAGCUACUGGCUUGGUUAUUCAUUCUCCCCUCACAUAAACAGCUUAGAGGGUCCUCCUCCUCAUCACCAUCACAAUCAACCUGGCUCAAGCAAUGUUCCAAGUUCAGUCCGCAUUAGAUUUUGUCCAACUCAUCUAAACUAUCCAGGCAUGUACUAUAAUAUUGAAGGUGACGAUGCAGCCUUUUUCUCUUCAUUUUCUGCGAUGCCUCUCAAGUCUGAUGGUUCAUUAUGCAUUAUGAAAGCAUUCAACAGGUCAGAACAACCAAAAGUUUGAAGGUAUGGUAAGUUUCAACACCUAAACUGGAGGACUUCUUUGGUGAUGCAGCAAUGGGAACCCAUCACCAUGAAGGUUGUAACGGAUGAGGGUUCACACCUUAGACAGCAAGAUUUACUAUAAUCAACACCAAGAAAGGGUUUGGAGGUUUAAUGAUGGCAGCAACGGACUAUGGAAGCAGCUUGUAGAAGUCAAAUAUGGAAGGAAGGAUUAUUGGGCUCCUUGUGCAAUUCAGUCUUCUUCUAAAGGAGGAGUUUGGAGUACCAUUAGCAAUCUAAAGGGUGAAUACAGUCAGCUUGUUAAGCUGAAAUUGGGGAAUGGCAAUAAUAUUUUAUUCUGGUAUGAUGUACGGAUGGGAAAUUAGAGCUUCAGAUCAAGAUUUCCCGUUUUAUAUAGUUUCUCCACAAACAAAAAAGGAAAUAUAGCAGAUCUGUACUCAAAUAAUGGCUGGCAACUGAUGUUUAGGAGAGGCCUCAAAUGACUUGGAAAUAGAUGAAUAUGCUCAAUUGCUGCAGUUGCUGGACAGUGUUAGUUUGUAGGAUAAUAAGAGAUCCAUUUAUCUGGGCAGCAAGUGGUGAUGGAAAAUUCACUGUCAACAAAUGCUACACUGUAUUGGAAAAGCAACAGAGGAUGCAUGAUUCAGAUUGGCCAUGGAAAGCAAUUUGGAAAUCUAAAGCACCUGUAAAGUAGCUUGUUUUGGGUGGGUGGCGGCAAAGAAAGCUUGUAACUCAGGAAAAUCUGCAAAGAAGAGGUACUACUCUGAUUAAAAGAUGCUAUAUGUGUGAAGAAGAUUUAGAAACUGUUAAUCAUCUCUUUAUUCAUUGCAAAGUGGCAAAACAAUAAUGGGAGCUCUUUCUAAAUAUGUAUGGAGUCAGAUGGGCAAUGCCCUCAAAUGUGAAAAGCUUACUGGAAACUUGGCAACUUCAAAAGAUGGCAAGGAGUCAAUUGGCUGUGUGGAGAAGAACUCCUCUAUGUGUUUUAUGGACAACAUGGUUGGAGAGACAUAGGGUCUGCUUUGAAGGAAGAAGACAACAUGUUUCCAGGAUUAAACAUGAUAUGUUUGAUAAAUCUGUAUUACUGUUGCAAAAGAAGUGUUGUGGAAAUUUGGAACAGUAAAUGAAUCUUUUAGUGGAGUUAAGUGAUAUGUAGGAGAUCAGUUUUGUGUUAGUUGCUGGCCUAUUAUAUUUGUACCAUUUUGGUACCUUUUUUAUUUAAUAAAAUUUUUCCUUACCAAAAAAAAAAAAUAUUAACCAACACCAAGAAAAUGAGACCACCAGCAGCCAAGAUUUCUCGAACUUGUUCAAGAAACCUCUAGGCAGCAACAACAAAAACAACACUACCCAGAUUUCUCAGCAUAUCACUCUACUGAUCAGGGGAAAACAGAGUGCAAUCCUCAGGUCCCAACAAUGCCAGUUGAUGAAAUGUCUGGCAUUAAUAACUGGCUGUCAAGAAACUAUCGAAAUCUAAAAGGGCAUGUAUUAGAGCAGAAUAUGGUAGGCUGCAUGGCUGAUAAUAGUGGAGAAUCUGGGUCUAGUGGUGCAAUAACAUACGGAGAUUUUAUGUCAUUUAGCUUAUCAAUGAGCCCUGGCUCUCAAUCAAGUUGUGUCAGUGGAACGCAGCAAAUCUCUCCAACCGUUGCGGAUAAUAUUGCCAUGGAAACAAAGAAAACAGGGCUUAAGAAGGUGGAUCAUCAAAAGCAAAUUGUUCAUAGGAAAUCCAUUGAUACUUUUGGCCAAAGAACCUCAUAGUAUCGAGGCGUCACUAGGCAUAGAUGGACUGGGAGAUACGAAGCUCAUCUAUGGGACAAGAGUUGUAAGAAAGAAGGGCAGAGCAGGAAAGGAAGGCAAUGUUAGUUUCAAACUUUUCUUUAAUGGAUUUGCUUUUUAUAGCUUCUGGUGGGUAUGACGUGGAAGAAAAAGCUGCAAGAUCAUAUGACUUGGUAGCACUGAAGUACUAGGGACUCUCAACAUAUAAAUUUCACGGAAGAGUUGUAAUUUUUCAAGAGGAGCUUCAAUGUAUCGAGGAUCUGUCUUCCUUGGAAGGACAUAAAGGUUGUCAUGUUGUAGCGCAAAGAUAUUCAAUUGGAGCAGUAGCUCAUCGUCUACAGUCACAUCCAGUUGGAUAAAGACUGCACCUGAGGCCUCAUCUUGUUCGUGCACCAUAUUGUAGAAAUCCUUCCUGCUCUUGACAACUAGAACUGGAAAUAACUUCGGGAUGGACUUCGCAGCUUCUUUCAGCGUCUUUGAGGAUGCCGGACAGACGCUACUGCUGCCAAUCUCAUGUGUGCUUGAUGGUGUCUCUUGUAUAGCAUGUGUGAGACUGGAUCCACUCAAAGGGAGAGCACUAGAUGAACUGGUUGUCCGCACAUUUUGGUUAUCAGCAUCCUUUGGCUAAUGUGUUAUUUCGCACACCCAAGACAAACGUCUUUUAAAAUAUUUCUGCAAUGCAUCGAACACACCUACAAAUGAAAAGGACUGUUAGAGCAGAGAAUUAACGCAGAGAAUUGAAAGGGGGCUGGUACCAUAACAGGUUUAGCAGAAAAAAGUUACCUCGAGCUGGAACAGAUUUAUAUUUCUUCGAACAAAGACUCUAACAUUAGCAAAUUUGUAUGAAGUAGAUGGCAGUAAGUUACCAAAGGCUCUCAAUAAAACUCAUGGCCUACGCCAAAAUUUAACAAGGGGCCUCAAUUUUUCUUUUCUUUUUUGUCUAUAGUGUAGUUAUCUUAUAAAAUAUAGUAUUAAUAUUA
This is a long non-coding RNA of Nicotiana attenuata, 4508 nucleotides long. RefSeq lists it as uncharacterized. Lineage: Eukaryota; Viridiplantae; Streptophyta; Magnoliopsida; Solanales; Solanaceae. The transcript has 5 exons. The record is from RefSeq and is a predicted model, not a curated record.